RNAcentral lists this ribosomal RNA (421 nucleotides) under uncultured Lachnospiraceae bacterium. RNAcentral's name for it is "bacterial SSU rRNA". It matches the Rfam family "Bacterial small subunit ribosomal RNA", at positions 355 to 794 of the family's 1533-position model. Lineage: Bacteria; Bacillati; Bacillota; Clostridia; Lachnospirales; Lachnospiraceae. The record is from RNAcentral.
UGGGGAAUAUUGCACAAUGGGGGAAACCCUGAUGCAGCGACGCCGCGUGAACGAAGAAGUAUUUCGGUAUGUAAAGUUCUAUCAGCAGGGAAGAUAAUGACGGUACCUGACCAAGAAGCACCGGCUAAAUACGUGCCAGCAGCCGCGGUAAUACGUAGGGGCAAGCGUUAUCCGGAUUUACUGGGUGUAAAGGGAGCGUAGACGGCCGUGCAAGUCUGAUGUGAAAGGCUGGGGCUCAACCCCGGGACUGCAUUGGAAACUGUAUGGCUGGAGUGCCGAAGAGGUAAGCGGAAUUCCUAGUGUAGCGGUGAAAUGCGUAGAUAUUAGGAGGAACACCAGUGGCGAAGGCGGCUUACUGGACGGUAACUGACGUUGAGGCUCGAAAGCGUGGGGAGCAAACAGGAUUAGAUACCCUGGUAGU